RNAcentral lists this long non-coding RNA (1018 nucleotides) under Callithrix jacchus (white-tufted-ear marmoset). RNAcentral describes it as "lncRNA (ENSCJAG00000086396.1)". Lineage: Eukaryota; Metazoa; Chordata; Mammalia; Primates; Cebidae. The record is from RNAcentral.
ACUACCUCUCCGGAGCCCAAAACAACCCCUAAACGACAACACAAAAACUUGGGAAAUGAGUUGAACAUUCCGUUUGCUGAAGACUGUUGUGCUUUCCCACAGUUUUGGCAUCCUUGAGGCAAACUUGAGAGUGGGGGUACUGGGUACCUCUCCUUCUUGGUGGCCUUUCUUCCUGCUGUUUUUCCCACAGCCUCAGAUCAGCUCCUGGAAACAAAGUCACCGUUCUGAGAUGCUGCUGGAUUUCGGGAGCACGUUGCUCUGCUGGAGCCUCCCAGGAUUAUAAACUGGGGGAAGGCAGCUUCCCGACCCUGAAAGCUUACAGCCCAAAGGCAAAAGCAGGAAGAAGCGGCAUCCAAAAAACAUCUGAUACAACGGAGAAAAUAGCACAUGACACACCAGAAAGAAAGGCCACAGGCAGAUUCCUCCACACAUUGACUGAAACCUCAGCAUAAGCACUCAGGACCCAGAGCUCCCUCAGUCUGCCUGUGGCCCGGCUUUGACCACUUUAGGAAAAACAGAUUUCUUCUGUGUGUAACCCGCGUUCCGAGCAGCCCCAAUACAUCCUUUUUCCCCUAGAAGUCUGAAGAGAGUAGACGUCAUGUUUCAGAAGAGUUCCAACAGUUAAGGUUAGGCAUUUAUUCAAAAAAUCAGUUGAAAAAUCCUCCAUAGUCAUUGGUUUGCACAUUUGUUCAUUUGUUUUAUCAGUGCCGGGGGCAAUAACUAUGUGCUAGGGAUAGAGAGAGGUUGAGGGACCAUCCAGUCUUUUGGGUAAAGAAUCAUAGGAUUAUGAUACGAGUGUUUGGGGCCAUGGUAAACAUGCUCAUGAUUCCAUAGGAGCCCCUGAGGAGGGGGGAGCCCUUGUCUAGUCUGAGGCUGGCUGGGGUGGAGUCAGGGAGGGCUUCCUGGAGUAGGUGAGCAUGCACUAAAUAGAUGAGCUGAAGCAAAACUCUUACAUAGAUGUUUUAGGACAUAGCGUUAGGAGAUGAAUGAGCAAAUGCUGAUUUGUAAUGGAACCACA